RNAcentral lists this ribosomal RNA (377 nucleotides) under uncultured bacterium. Its description in RNAcentral is "bacterial SSU rRNA". It matches the Rfam family "Bacterial small subunit ribosomal RNA", at positions 28 to 414 of the family's 1533-position model. The record is from RNAcentral.
GAUGAACGCUGGCGGCGUGCCUAACACAUGCAAGUCGAGCGAUUCUCUUCGGAGAAGAGCGGCGGACGGGUGAGUAACGCGUGGGUAACCUGCCCUGUACACACGGAUAACAUACCGAAAGGUAUGCUAAUACGAGAUAAUAUGCUUUUAUCGCAUGGUAGAAGUAUCAAAGCUCCGGCGGUACAGGAUGGACCCGCGUCUGAUUAGCUAGUUGGUAAGGUAACGGCUUACCAAGGCGACGAUCAGUAGCCGACCUGAGAGGGUGAUCGGCCACAUUGGAACUGAGACACGGUCCAAUCUCCUACGGGAGGCAGCAGUGGGGAAUAUUGCACAAUGGGCGAAAGCCUGAUGCAGCAACGCCGCGUGAGCGAUGAAGG